GCCGAAGUGGCGGAACUGGCAGACGCACAGGACUUAAAAUCCUGCGGUCCUUCAAGAUCGUACCGGUUCGAUUCCGGUCUUCGGCACCA
RNAcentral lists this transfer RNA (89 nucleotides) under Bacillus anthracis (anthrax bacterium). RNAcentral describes it as "tRNA-Leu". It matches the Rfam family "tRNA". Rfam says of the family: Transfer RNA (tRNA) molecules are approximately 80 nucleotides in length. RNAcentral also lists the same sequence under 6 other names. The record is from RNAcentral. Lineage: Bacteria; Bacillati; Bacillota; Bacilli; Caryophanales; Bacillaceae.